Molecule: ribosomal RNA, 253 nt
Filed under: uncultured bacterium
Lineage: Bacteria
Description: partial 16S ribosomal RNA
Rfam family: Bacterial small subunit ribosomal RNA
Source: RNAcentral
GACGGAGGGUGCAAACGUUGUUCGGAAUUACUGGGCGUAAAGCGUGUGUAGGCGGUCCACUAAGUCGGGUGUGAAAGCCCUGGGCUCAACCCAGGAAGUGCACUCGAAACUGGCGGGCUAGAGUAUCGGAGAGGUUGGUGGAAUUCUCGGUGUAGAGGUGAAAUUCGUAGAUAUCGAGAGGAACACCGGUGGCGAAGGCGGCCAACUGGACGAAUACUGACGCUGAGACACGAACGCGUGGGGAGCAAACAGG